GUUUCUGCACCACACAGUAAUGUUCCAUAUACUUGCUCUUUUGUUUAUGAGCACACCCACCACUAGAAUCCAGACUCCUUAAGAACUGAUAUUUUUGUCUCUUGGGGUGCCGUUUCCUCAGCAACUAGAACUGCUGUAGGUACUCAGAAUUUUUGAGUGAAUUGGUGAAAUAAUUCUCGCUAAAGCUGUUUCAUGGCUCAGGAGGAAAAGGGAAGGUAUAGGCGAUUGAGACUGGUCACAUUAUGAGCAUGUAAAAAUAUAGCAUAAUGAAUCCCAUUGUGCAGUUCUAAUGCACUAAUACAAAACAAUUUCCCAGAGCUCUGUCUUCAGUUGGUAGGACUGUUCCACACCCUUAACACUUAGUAAAGAUGACAAAUAGAUUCUGGGUUCCAGGAGUGAAUCAGGGCUUUUGCAUGGUUACAGACAUUUUAUAUUUUAUGUGAGUAGGUAAAUGAAAACUUUUCUUUAAGUCGGUAAUAAGUUACAUGAAACAGAAUACUGAGAGACUGCGCAUUAAAGCAUUUGUACGUUGCUUCAGACAAACUUUGCUUUCGUCCCUGCUUUGCAUAAGUUUUCAUAGCAGCAUGGUUGGGACAAACUGUGGUCUUUCACCUUUGAGUCCAGCUCUUUCAGAGGUCAUUGUCUGUCUUAAGGAGGAAUAGUUUGGAAAAUUUCUUGUGACAUUUAGGAAAACAGUAACCAAAAGUAAUAACAGAGACUUAAAGGUUAUCAAGAUAGACUACUAUAAUUUAUAUUUUCUAGCAUUCCAUAGAAAUGCUCCUCUAAAGGAUUUACUUUUGUAACUCUCCUUGUGACAUAGCAGUAUGCUAUGAAGCAGUAAGCACAGAAAUGUGUACAUGAGAGUAUGUCUGGGAAGAGCAUUGAAAACAGUGUUUUUUCAUAGUUUUCACUAGUUUUGAAGGUUUUAUUUCUGGUAGGGUAUUUAAAAAUGGAGUCUUGACAGUAAAAAGUGGGAGAAAUAAUUGGAGAAGGUAAGACUCCUGAGUAUAGAAAUGCAGACAGAUAAGAAAGGCUUCAGGAUGGAAAAAGAAGUGACAAACUUAGCCAGAUUCAGCGAUUAUUUUAUUUCUUUCUAUUUCAAAGACUUCAAGCUAUAGUAAAUUCUGUUAUAGUUUAUAUAGAACCAUUUUUUUUUAAAUUUUUUUGCAGUACUAAGUAUUGAAACCUAGGGAUGCUCCUACCCAUUGAGAUACAUUCUCAGCCCUUGGUUUACUUUGAGAGAGGGUCUUGUUAAGUUGCCUGGGCUGUCCUUAAACUUGUUAUCCUCCUGCCUCAGCCUCCUGAGUAACUGGUAUUAUAGCUGUGCGCCACCACACCAAGCUAGAGAAAGCCAUCUUUUGUGUUUUUCUGG
This 1372-nucleotide long non-coding RNA is filed under the name Marmota monax (woodchuck). Lineage: Eukaryota; Metazoa; Chordata; Mammalia; Rodentia; Sciuridae. The record is from RNAcentral.